GGUGCAAAAAAAACCCCUUAUUUGCAACCGAGAACUCAUCGUUCAGUAUGAGUUUUGAUACAUAUAAGAAGGAACAUU
RNAcentral lists this small nucleolar RNA (78 nucleotides) under Prolemur simus (greater bamboo lemur). RNAcentral's name for it is "Small nucleolar RNA SNORA40 (ENSPSMG00000000803.1)". It matches the Rfam family "Small nucleolar RNA SNORA40", at positions 50 to 128 of the family's 128-position model. Rfam says of the family: The snoRNA ACA 40 belongs to the H/ACA family of snoRNAs and guides the pseudouridylation of 28S rRNA subunit at position U4565. The record is from RNAcentral. Lineage: Eukaryota; Metazoa; Chordata; Mammalia; Primates; Lemuridae.